Molecule: ribosomal RNA, 269 nt
Filed under: uncultured bacterium
Lineage: Bacteria
Description: partial 16S ribosomal RNA
Rfam family: Bacterial small subunit ribosomal RNA
Source: RNAcentral
GUUACAAUGGGGGGUACGAGAGGGCCGCUACCACGCGAGUGGAUGCCAAUCCCCAAAACCUCUCUCAGUUCGGACUGGAGUCUGCAACCCGACUCCACGAAGCUGGAUUCGCUAGUAAUCGCGCAUCAGCCGCGGCGCGGUGAAUACGUUCCCGGGCCUUGUACACACCGCCCGUCAAGCCAUGGGAGCCGGGGGUACCUGAAGUGCGUAACCGCGAGGAGCGCCCUAGGGUAAAACUGGUGACUGGGGCUAAGUCGUAACAAGGUAUC